This 492-nucleotide ribosomal RNA is filed under the name uncultured bacterium. RNAcentral's name for it is "partial 16S ribosomal RNA". It matches the Rfam family "Bacterial small subunit ribosomal RNA", at positions 29 to 507 of the family's 1533-position model. The record is from RNAcentral.
AGUGAACGCUGGCGGUAGGCCUAACACAUGCAAGUCGAACGGCAGCACAGUAAGAGCUUGCUCUUACGGGUGGCGAGUGGCGGACGGGUGAGGAAUACAUCGGCAUCUACUUUUUCGUGGGGGAUAACGUAGGGAAACUUACGCUAAUACCGCAUACGACCUACGGGUGAAAGCAGGGGAUCUUCGGACCUUGCGCGAUUGAAUGAGCCGAUGUCGGAUUAGCUAGUUGGCGGGGUAAAGGCCCACCAAGGCGACGAUCCGUAGCUGGUCUGAGAGGAUGAUCAGCCACACUGGAACUGAGACACGGUCCAGACUCCUACGGGAGGCAGCAGUGGGGAAUAUUGGGCAAUGGGCGCAAGCCUGAUGCAGCCAUACCGCGUGGGUGAAGAAGGCCUUCGGGUUGUAAAGCCCUUUUGUUGGGAAAGAAAAGCAGCAGGUUAAUACCCCGCUGUUCUGACGGUACCCAAAGAAUAAGCACCGGCUAACUUCGUG